AUUACCGAGUCUCGAACUCACCAAACCCCUGUGAACAUACCAGUGUUGCUUCSGCGGUCGACCCCUCCGCCCUCCCCUCACCGGGUGGGCGGCGCGGUUCCGCCAGAGGACCAUAUCAAAACUCCUGUUUUUUCCCAGAAAGGAUUCCGCUCUGAGUAAACCAAAGAAAACCAUUAAAACUUUCAACAACGGAUCUCUUGGCUCUGGCAUCGAUGAAGAACGCAGCGAAAUGCGAUAAGUAAUGCGAAUUGCAGAUUUCAGUGAAUCAUCGAAUCUUUGAACGCACAUUGCGCCCGCCAGUAUUCUGGCGGGCAUGCCUGUUCGAGCGUCAUUUCAACCCUCAAGCCCCCGGGCUUGGCGUUGGGGAUCGGCAGCCAACCGGCGCCCUCGCGGGCGUCCGGGGCCGUCCCCCAAAUCCAUCGGCGGUCACGCCGCGGCGUCCCCUGCGCAGUACUGCACCUCGCACCGGACCGCGGCCUGGCCACGCCGUAAAACCCCCGACUUUUAUCGUGGUUGACCUCGAAUCAGGUAGGACUACCCGCUGAACUUAAGCAUAUCAAUAAGCGGAGGAAAAGAAACCAACAGGGAUUGCCCCAGUAACGGCGAGUGAAGCGGCAACAGCUCAAAUUUGAAAUCUGGCCCCCGGGUCCGAGUUGUAAUUUGUAGAGGAAGCUUUUGGUGCGGCACCUUCCGAGUCCCCUGGAACGGGACGCCAUAGAGGGUGAGAGCCCCGUCCGGUCGGAUGCCAAUCCUCUGUAAAGCUCCUUCGACGAGUCGAGUAGUUUGGGAAUGCUGCUCUAAAUGGGAGGUAUAUGUCUUCUAAAGCUAAAUACCGGCCAGAGACCGAUAGCGCACAAGUAGAGUGAUCGAAAGAUGAAAAGCACUUUGAAAAGAGAGUUAAAAAGUACGUGAAAUUGUUGAAAGGGAAGCGCUCAUGACCAGACGUGGGCUUGGUUGAUCAACCUGGGUUCUCCCUGGUGCACUCUUCCUAGCCCAGGCCAGCAUCAGUUUGCCUCGGGGGACAAAGGCGUCGGGAAUGUGGCUCCCCCGGGAGUGUUAUAGCCCGUCGCGUAAUACCCUGCGGCAGACUGAG
This 1093-nucleotide ribosomal RNA is filed under the name fungal sp. Its description in RNAcentral is "eukaryotic LSU rRNA". Lineage: Eukaryota; Fungi. The record is from RNAcentral.